UAGGGAAUCUUCGGCAAUGGGGGCAACCCUGACCGAGCAACGCCGCGUGAGUGAAGAAGGUUUUCGGAUCGUAAAGCUCUGUUGUAAGAGAAGAACGUGUGUGAGAGUGGAAAGUUCACGCAGUGACGGUAACUUACCAGAAAGGGACGGCUAACUACGUGCCAGCAGCCGCGGUAAUACGUAGGUCCCGAGCGUUGUCCGGAUUUAUUGGGCGUAAAGCGAGCGCAGGCGGUUUAAUAAGUCUGAAGUUAAAGGCAGUGGCUUAACCAUUGUUCGCUUUGGAAACUGUUAAACUUGAGUGCAGAAGGGGAGAGUGGAAUUCCAUGUGUAGCGGUGAAAUGCGUAGAUAUAUGGAGGAACACCGGUGGCGAAAGCGGCUCUCUGGUCUGUAACUGACGCUGAGGCUCGAAAGCGUGGGGAGCAAACAGG
RNAcentral lists this ribosomal RNA (429 nucleotides) under bacterium. RNAcentral describes it as "partial 16S ribosomal RNA". It matches the Rfam family "Bacterial small subunit ribosomal RNA", at positions 355 to 776 of the family's 1533-position model. The record is from RNAcentral.